This 405-nucleotide ribosomal RNA is filed under the name uncultured bacterium. RNAcentral's name for it is "bacterial SSU rRNA". It matches the Rfam family "Bacterial small subunit ribosomal RNA", at positions 355 to 776 of the family's 1533-position model. The record is from RNAcentral.
UAGGGAAUAUUCCACAAUGGGCGAAAGCCUGAUGGAGCAACACCGCGUGGUCGAUGAAGCAUUUCGAUGUGUAAAGGCCUUUUCUGGGGGAAGAAUUAUGACGGUACCCUAGGAAUAAGCACCGGCUAACUCCGUGCCAGCAGCCGCGGUAAUACGGAGGGUGCAAGCGUUAAUCGGAAUCACUGGGCGUAAAGCGCGCGUAGGCGGUCUGGUCAGUCAGAUGUGAAAGCCCCGGGCUCAACCUGGGAAUUGCAUUUGAUACUGCCAGACUCGAGUGUGGUAGAGGGAAGUGGAAUUCCGAGUGUAGCGGUGAAAUGCGUAGAUAUUCGGAGGAACACCAGUGGCGAAGGCGACUUCCUGGACCAACACUGACGCUGAGGUGCGAAAGCGUGGGGAGCAAACAGG